Pseudomyrmex gracilis is the source of this 262-nucleotide long non-coding RNA. RefSeq lists it as uncharacterized. The record is from RefSeq and is a predicted model, not a curated record. NCBI's taxonomy places the organism in Eukaryota, Metazoa, Arthropoda, Insecta, Hymenoptera, Formicidae. The transcript is spliced from 3 exons.
UCUCAUUCCGAUAUCCAGAAAAGUAUUGAAAACAAUCUGCAGUAUCUCUUAAGAGAAAACAAAUGUCCGAAGUAGAUAAUGAAGAUGUCGACAUUGAUGAUCCAGUCUCAUCUCCAGCACCUUCUACAUCGUCAAUCAUUAAUUCAGAACUGUCAGAAACGCAAUCAGUAUCAAUUUCACCAAGUCCUACUUCCAAACAACCUAGAAUUGACUUAGCAUUUAAAAAACAAAAGUCAUAUCAAGAUGGAGGAUCCAAAGCUGC